AGGGGCCAAAAAAGGGCCCAAAUAAGCAUUUUCUUGGUUUUCGCACUAUAACUUUAGUUUAAGUUAAUAGAAAUCUAUGAAAUUUUGACACAAGGUUUAUCACCACAAAAGAAAGGUUGAGAUUGAUUUUGGGAGUUUUGGUUCCAACAGUUUAGGAAUUAGGGGCCAAAAAGGGACCCAAAUAAGCAUUAUUCUUGGUUUUCACACAAUAACUUUAGUUUAAGUAAAUAGAAAUCAAUGAAAUUUAAAC
Molecule: long non-coding RNA, 250 nt
Filed under: Mytilus galloprovincialis (Mediterranean mussel)
Lineage: Eukaryota; Metazoa; Mollusca; Bivalvia; Mytilida; Mytilidae
Source: RNAcentral